AGGAUAAACGCUGGCGGCGUGCCUAACGACAUGCAAGUCGAACGCGCUUUCGGGCUUCGGUGCGAGAGCGAGUGGCGGACGGGUGAGUAACACAUGGGUACCUACCUUGGAGUGAGGGAUACCGGCGAGAAAUCGCCGACAAUACCGCAUAGGCUUCUUCACAAGGGAAGCAAAGUGACGCGAGUCACGCUUUGAGAUGGGCCUGUGGCCGAUUAGCUAGUUGGGGGGGUAACGGCUUCCCAAGGCGACGAUCGGUAGCUGGUCUGAGAGGACGAUCAGCCACACUGGGAUUGAGAACGGCCCAGACUCCUACGGGGGGCAGCAGUGAGGAAUUUUCCGCAAUGGAGGCAACUCUGACGGAGCAACGCCGCGUGCAGGAGGAAGGUUUUCGGAUCGUAAACUGCUUUUCUCGGGGACGAGCAAGGACGGUACCCGGAGGAACGAAGCCCCGGCUAACUACGCGCCAGCAGCCGC
RNAcentral lists this ribosomal RNA (474 nucleotides) under uncultured bacterium. RNAcentral's name for it is "SSU rRNA". It matches the Rfam family "Bacterial small subunit ribosomal RNA", at positions 26 to 518 of the family's 1533-position model. The record is from RNAcentral.